This 2120-nucleotide long non-coding RNA is filed under the name Equus caballus (horse). RNAcentral's name for it is "lncRNA (ENSECAG00000035391.2)". The stretch from base 1087 to 1170 matches the Rfam family "mir-322 microRNA precursor family". Lineage: Eukaryota; Metazoa; Chordata; Mammalia; Perissodactyla; Equidae. The record is from RNAcentral.
CAACGCACUCAGCAUACUUGAAUACUUCGUGUCUGUUACUUGUGUUGAAAUGCAAUUGAACCUUCAAAACCAUUAGAGUUUUGUGCUGGUUUAGUUGUUUUAACCUUUAGGUUUGUGAUUGACGGUUACAGGGUAGUUUCUUUUAUGCUUAAUUGAAUAUUUCGUUUAAACAGUGGAGGGGGAUGCCUGGAACUUAACUGCUAAUGUGUGUCCAUUUUCAAAAGGGAGAAGUAGUAUCUAAUGAGUUAAUCAUUAAGGAGUAUGCACAGGGCCGGCCAUUUCAGGACAUGCAAGAGUUUCUGUGGAGCUGCUCCAGACAGGAAGGAGUGACUUGACAUCAAGCAUUUAAACUUUUUGAUUUAUGUUUCGAUUGGUGACAUUGAAAGGUAUAAAUUAUUUACAAAUAAGUUUGAGUAACCAGUUUCAUCUGUAAACAACCAGAUAUUUCAUCUAGGGACAGUUGUCUCUCAUUCUUUGAUAACUUUAAAAAGAACUCAAAGCAGGGCGUUUGCUGUAGGAAUGAAGGACUGACAGUUAAAGAGACGACGGGUCUCUAUUUCCCGGCUAUCUCCUAUGUUAGAAUCAGCUAAAGCUGCCAGGGACGUGCUGGUGAUCUCCUUUAAGUCAAUAAAUGAAAAGUUUUGUGGGGCUUUUUUAAUGGGGACAUUGAGUGAGACUUAUGAUUUAUAAUAUGCAGCAGGAAGAAGUUUCACUAAGAUUUUGAAGCUGGCAAGUGAUCCAGAUGUUGCCAAACUGCCUCAAUUUAUUUUUAUCUUAUUCUUACUUUAAGAGGUAAGAUUCUUUCCCACCCUAAUUCCUAUCUCCCACCCCUCUGCUUUUCACCACUACACUUUUGCAAGAGUCAUCCUUUGGGGAAAAAAAAUUGAGAGCCACACCCUUCGCUCCACCUGCCGACCCUGGAAAUCAAACGAAGUUCUACAAAGGACGUCCAUCUGGAAGGAGACGUCUCAGUUAUCCGUUUUACUUUAUUCCCCGCCAUUGGGCGGGGCAGGACUGGGCUUCCUUCCAGUCACCACGUCUUUCUCCACCUGCAGGUACUCCAGAGCGAUCCCCCUUCGUUGACUCCGAGGGGAUGCAGCAGCAAUUCAUGUUUUGAAGUGAUUUAAACGGUUCAAAACGUGAGGCGCUGCUAUACCCCCUCGCGGGGAAGUUGGAAGGUGGGGUUCUGCUGGACGUGUGCUCCUGCGAGGCGCCCGCUCCCAAGGCCAGCUCAGGAGCAGGAGGCCCGGUGGCACCCGGCGCCCAGCCCUCCGGGAGGACCACGCUCGCGCCAUCCGUCGCCCGCAGGACACAGGAACACUAUAUCAACACUCUUGGCCCGGAUCUGAACACAGAAGACUCCUGUUUCAAGAAAAUACAAUCAUCUCUCAAAGUCUGCAUUUUUAACUCACUAGGUAUUGAAAACCACCCAAGUGUCCCACAACAUGGGGUAAAACAGAAUCAAUCACUCAGUGUAAUAUUAUACAUCCUUUAAAAAUGUUAUUGGGGAAUGUUUUAUGAUCUGUAAGUCGAAAUAACCCUCUCCGGGCAUUUCUUUCUCCCUGCUGCUCCCCCAUACCCGCGCUUCUUUGUUCCAAUUGGCAUAUAAAGCUGUUUUUCCCUCCAAACAAGUCAGUCACGAUGGGAACGUCAAUUGAUUUGAACAGAUGUGUGUCAAUGUUACUUGGAAAACUAGAUGCCAGUAACCAGGGCCACAAAGAAAGGCAGUGGUUGCAACACUAUAAAAACGUAUGCGUGCAUACAGACAAGGACUAAAGUGGAACCCCAAGCAGGAAAAGAGUUGAAUACACUCCAGUGCUGGGAGACUGAAUGAUUGUAUGCUGCUUUUGAUUUCCAUUAAUACGGGCAACUGUCCAAUUAAAAAGACCUAAUAAGGACUCUGCAGUGCAAAUUAUUUUGCUGAUUGUUUUAAAACACCAUACCUAUCAAAGCAUCGAGGCCGACGGGGCAGCAGGGGACUGGGUUUGUUCCCCCAUCCAGCACUCUAGAGCUCAGGGCAACACUGGGAGAAAAAGUGAUCCUACACAGGUGGGAGUUCACUUCUAGGCAGGUUUCCUGAGAGACGGUGCAAGAUGAAAAUAAAAAUAGGUUCAAGAAGC